CUCCUGGCAAAAAGAUUGGAAAAACCAAGCGGGAAAGUCAUGUCGCAUCCCACCCAUUUCCUGGCCACUGAAGAGCCUGUUUUUCUGGCAACAGAAGCAUACGAUUGUCCCUGUUGUCCUUUCCAGAUGCCACUAAAUCAUAAAAUUCUUUACCAUCUGAGAAAUCACUUAGAUGGAGCAGUCCACCAUGGAGGAGUGACAGAGAAGUUCAAGAAGUUCAGUCAGAUGGUCAUGUUUUGUUUUGUUUUGCUUGAAUAAACUGUUGAAAUAAAAAAA
Epinephelus fuscoguttatus (brown-marbled grouper) is the source of this 276-nucleotide long non-coding RNA. RefSeq lists it as uncharacterized. Lineage: Eukaryota; Metazoa; Chordata; Actinopteri; Perciformes; Serranidae. The record is from RefSeq and is a predicted model, not a curated record. The transcript has 3 exons.